RNAcentral lists this ribosomal RNA (375 nucleotides) under uncultured organism. RNAcentral's name for it is "partial 16S ribosomal RNA". It matches the Rfam family "Bacterial small subunit ribosomal RNA", at positions 527 to 896 of the family's 1533-position model. The record is from RNAcentral.
GUAGGUGGCAAGCGUUGUCCGGAAUUAUUGGGCGUAAAGCGCGCGCAGGCGGUUCUUUAAGUCUGAUGUGAAAGCCCACGGCUCAACCGUGGAGGGUCAUUGGAAACUGGAGAACUUGAGUACAGAAGAGGAAAGCGGAAUUCCACGUGUAGCGGUAAAAUGCGUAGAGAUGUGGAGGAACACCAGUGGCGAAGGCGGCUUUUCUGGUCUGUAACUGACGCUGAGGCGCGAAAGCGUGGGGAGCAAACAGGGAUUAGAUACCCUGGUAGUCCACGCCGUAAACGAUGAGUGCUAAGUGUUAGGGGGGUUUCCGCCCCCUUAGUGCUGCAGCUAACGCAUUAAGCACUCCGCCUGGGGAGUACGGCCGCAAGGCUG